Molecule: ribosomal RNA, 304 nt
Filed under: uncultured bacterium
Lineage: Bacteria
Description: partial 16S ribosomal RNA
Rfam family: Bacterial small subunit ribosomal RNA
Source: RNAcentral
UCUUCUCCGCCGGCGACCGGCGCACGGGUGAGUAACACGUAUGCAACCUGCCCCUCGUCAGGGGGACAACCCGCCGAAAGGCGGGGCUAAACCCGCGUACAUGCCACCGGGGCAUCCCGGAGGCAGGAAAGGCUUCGGCCGGACAGGGAUGGGCAUGCGGCGCAUUAGGCAGUAGGCGGGGUAACGGCCCACCUAACCGACGAUGCGUAGGGGUUCGUUUUUUUUUUUUUUUUUUUUUUUUUUAGAGGAAGGUCCCCCACCACUGGUACUGAGACACGGACCAGACUCCUACGGAAGGCAGCAG